Molecule: ribosomal RNA, 337 nt
Filed under: uncultured bacterium
Lineage: Bacteria
Description: bacterial SSU rRNA
Rfam family: Bacterial small subunit ribosomal RNA
Source: RNAcentral
CUACGGGAGGCAGCAGUGAGGAAUAUUGGUCAAUGGGCGAUGGCCUGAACCAGCCAAGUAGCGUGAAGGAUGACUGCCCUAUGGGUUGUAAACUUCUUUUAUAAAGGAAUAAAGUCGGGUAUGCAUACCCGUUUGCAUGUACUUUAUGAAUAAAGAUCGGCUAACUCCGUGCCAGCAGCCGCGGUAAUACGGAGGAUCCGAGCGUUAUCCGGAUUUAUUGGGUUUAAAGGGAGCGUAGAUGGAUGUUUAAGUCAGUUGUGAAAGUUUGCGGCUCAACCGUAAAAUUGCAGUUGAUACUGGAUGUCUUGAGUGCAGUUGAGGCAGGCGGAAUUCGUGG